UACGUAGGGUGCGAGCGUUGUCCGGAAUUAUUGGGCGUAAAGAGCUUGUAGGCGGUUUGUCGCGUCUGCCGUGAAAAUCCGGGGCUCAACCCCGGACUUGCGGUGGGUACGGGCAGACUAGAGUGUGGUAGGGGAGACUGGAAUUCCUGGUGUAGCGGUGAAAUGCGCAGAUAUCAGGAGGAACACCGAUGGCGAAGGCAGGUCUCUGGGCCACUACUGACGCUGAGGAGCGAAAGCGUGGGUAGCGAACAGG
RNAcentral lists this ribosomal RNA (253 nucleotides) under uncultured bacterium. RNAcentral's name for it is "partial 16S ribosomal RNA". It matches the Rfam family "Bacterial small subunit ribosomal RNA", at positions 524 to 776 of the family's 1533-position model. The record is from RNAcentral.